GAGCUUAUAGUUCAAUGGUAGAACACAUUGCUCAUAACAAUGUAGUUGUGGGUUCGAAUCCUACUAAGCUCA
RNAcentral lists this transfer RNA (72 nucleotides) under Helicosporidium sp. ex Simulium jonesi. RNAcentral describes it as "tRNA-Ile". It matches the Rfam family "tRNA". Rfam says of the family: Transfer RNA (tRNA) molecules are approximately 80 nucleotides in length. The record is from RNAcentral. Lineage: Eukaryota; Viridiplantae; Chlorophyta; Trebouxiophyceae; Chlorellales; Chlorellaceae.